UUUUCUCAUUCUUAACCUCUCCAGGCAGCAAAAUUUCACAAUGUAAGAAAUAGGCUCAGGACAAGCAUCACAUCCAAGCAAGAAGGUCUUUGCAAGAGCCCAACACCUCGAUAUUGGACUUACCAGCCUCCAGAAUUAAUCCAAUAUCAUGUAGGCACAUGAGGAAGCCUAUAUGGAAGACAAUUGAGACCUCAGCUAAAUUCCCAGUCAGUAACCAGCACCAACCUGCUAGCUGUGUGAGGGAACCAUCUUGGAAAUGGAUUCUCCAGCCCUCUUCAAGAGUC
Molecule: long non-coding RNA, 284 nt
Organism: Pan troglodytes (chimpanzee)
Lineage: Eukaryota; Metazoa; Chordata; Mammalia; Primates; Hominidae
Exons: 3
Source: RefSeq, a predicted model, not a curated record